GAUCCUGGCUCAGAUUGAACGCUGGCGGCAUGCCUUACACAUGCAAGUCGAACGGUAACAGGUCUUCGGACGCUGACGAGUGGCGAACGGGUGAGUAAUACAUCGGAACGUGCCCAGUCGUGGGGGAUAACUACUCGAAAGAGUAGCUAAUACCGCAUACGAUCUGAGGAUGGAAGCGGGGGACUUUCGGGCCUCGCGCGAUUGGAGCGGCCGAUGGCAGAUUAGGUAGUUGGUGGGAUAAAAG
Molecule: ribosomal RNA, 244 nt
Filed under: uncultured bacterium
Lineage: Bacteria
Description: partial 16S ribosomal RNA
Rfam family: Bacterial small subunit ribosomal RNA
Source: RNAcentral